AGUGAACGCUGGCGGUAGACCUAACACAUGCAAGUCGAACGGCAGCACAGUAAGAGCUUGCUCUUACGGGUGGCGAGUGGCGGACGGGUGAGGAAUACAUCGGAAUCUACUUUUUCGUGGGGGAUAACGUAGGGAAACUUACGCUAAUACCGCAUACGCCCUACGGGUGAAAGCAGGGGAUCUUCGCACCUUGCGCGAUUGAAUGAGCCGAUGUCGGAUUAGCUAGUUGGCGGGGUAAAGGCCCACCAAUGCGACGAUCCGUAGCUGGUCUGAGAGGAUGAUCAGCCACACUGGAACUGAGACACGGUCCAGACUCCUACGGGAGGCAGCAGUGGGGAAUAUUGGACAAUGGGCGCAAGCCUGAUCCAGCCAUACCGCGUGGGUGAAGAAGGCCUUCGGGUUGUAAAGCCCUUUUGUUGGGAAAGAAAAGCAGCAGGUUAAUACCCCGCUGUUCUGACGGUACCCAAAGAAUAAGCACCGGCUAACUUCGUG
This 492-nucleotide ribosomal RNA is filed under the name uncultured bacterium. Its description in RNAcentral is "partial 16S ribosomal RNA". It matches the Rfam family "Bacterial small subunit ribosomal RNA", at positions 29 to 507 of the family's 1533-position model. The record is from RNAcentral.